AAGUAUAGCUAGGGGAGCAAUUUGCUGAGACCUUUUGGAAACCCUUUGAACCUGUGAGUCAAUACUCGCGUAGGGAAGCUUUAAAUAAUAAGG
This 93-nucleotide non-coding RNA is filed under the name Lentilactobacillus farraginis. RNAcentral's name for it is "Lactobacillus farraginis TPP sequence". It matches the Rfam family "TPP riboswitch aptamer (THI element)". From Rfam's summary of the family: Vitamin B(1) in its active form thiamin pyrophosphate (TPP) is an essential coenzyme that is synthesised by coupling of pyrimidine and thiazole moieties in bacteria. The record is from RNAcentral. Lineage: Bacteria; Bacillati; Bacillota; Bacilli; Lactobacillales; Lactobacillaceae.